RNAcentral lists this ribosomal RNA (38 nucleotides) under Wolffia globosa. Its description in RNAcentral is "partial 26S ribosomal RNA". The record is from RNAcentral. Lineage: Eukaryota; Viridiplantae; Streptophyta; Magnoliopsida; Alismatales; Araceae.
CUCGGACCGCGACCCCAGGUCAGGCGGGGCUACCCGCC